CAGUAGCCGCGGUAAUACGAAGGGGGCUAGCGUUGUUCGGAAUUACUGGGCGUAAAGCGCACGUAGGCGGAUAUUUAAGUCAGGGGUGAAAUCCAGAGCUCAACUCUGGAACUGCCUUUGAUACUGGGUAUCUUGAGUAUGGAAGAGGUGAGUGGAAUUCCGAGUGUAGAGGUGAAAUUCGUAGAUAUUCGGAGGAACACCAGUGGCGAAGGCGGCUCACUGGUCCAUUACUGACGCUGAGGUGCGAAAGCGUGGGGAGCAAACAGGAUUAGAUACCCCCGUAGUCCCUGUCUCUUAUACA
This 301-nucleotide ribosomal RNA is filed under the name uncultured bacterium. RNAcentral's name for it is "partial 16S ribosomal RNA". It matches the Rfam family "Bacterial small subunit ribosomal RNA", at positions 509 to 808 of the family's 1533-position model. The record is from RNAcentral.